UGCUUUACAUUAUGAGCGACACAGCAGCAAUAGCCUGCCAGGACUAAUGAUGGACCUCAGGAAUAAAGGUGUUUCUGAGAAGUAUCGAAAGCUCGUGUCUGCAGUUGUUGAAUAUGGUGGUAAACGAGUCAGAGGAAGUGACCUCUUCAGCCCCAAAGAUGCUGUGGCUAUCACCAAACAAUUCCUCAAAGGACUGAAGGUAUAGACAUCUCCUCUAUGCUCUCCUGAGUGAGAACAGUUGAAGCCCCUGAGGCUGAGAGUGAAUGAAUAUGAUCUUCAAAAUAUCUUGAAGAUUGCUGCUAAUUUAGUACUAUGUCAGUUAAAUGAAAUUAAAACUGGCAUCCUCUUGAAA
This 352-nucleotide small RNA is filed under the name Pongo abelii (Sumatran orangutan). RNAcentral's name for it is "processed transcript". The record is from RNAcentral. Lineage: Eukaryota; Metazoa; Chordata; Mammalia; Primates; Hominidae.